RNAcentral lists this ribosomal RNA (524 nucleotides) under uncultured bacterium. RNAcentral's name for it is "partial 16S ribosomal RNA". It matches the Rfam family "Bacterial small subunit ribosomal RNA", at positions 28 to 523 of the family's 1533-position model. The record is from RNAcentral.
GACGAACGCUGGCGGCGUGCCUAAUACAUGCAAGUCGAACGAAGCUUUUUUAACUGGUGCUUGCACCGACUUAAACAACUGAGUGGCGAACGGGUGAGUAACACGUGGGUAACCUGCCCCAAAGCGGGGGAUAACAUUUGGAAACAGAUGCUAAUACCGCAUAACCACAGAAACCACAUGGUUUCUGUGUCAAAGAUGGUUUCGGCUAUCACUUUGGGAUGGACCCGCGGCGUAUUAGCUAGUUGGUAAGGUAAUGGCUUACCAAGGCAAUGAUACGUAGACGAACUGAGAGGUUGAUCGGCCACAGUGGGACUGAGACACGGCCCAAACUCCUGCGGGAGGCAGCAGUAGGAAAUCUUCCACAAUGGACGAAAGUCUGAUGGAGCAACGCCGCGUGAGUGAAGAAGGUUUUCGGAUCGUAAAACUCUGUUGUCAGAGAAGAACGUGUGCGAGAGUAACUGUUCGUGCAGUGACGGUAUCUGGCCAGAAAGCCACGGCUAACUACGUGCCAGCCGCCGCGGUAA